CUUAAUGCUUGCGAGUUGUAGGUGCUUGUUUAAUCUCUGGGAUGCUGAGUGAGACGCGACUGGCAGAGUCCAAAACCUUAAUCAAAUGUUGGAGUCGAUCCGCCUUCCAUUUACUCCGAUAUCUCGGGACAUCUUCUUUUUUUGUCUUUUUCUUCUUUGAUUCUAAGUUGAGAAUCAUCUCGUGGGUCAUUUCGAUCCGUGUGGCUCGAGGUUAGACCUGCGGGGAAGAAACAAACAAACAAAAUUUUCUGCCCCAGUUACACUAGGAAAAUUUCGUGAAUUAUUUGCCAGGAAGUUCAUAAAAUUGAUGAAAGAAGAUACGAAAGCUCAGUUCAGGUUUGGAGCCCUAAUAUCGACUAGCUGGGGAGAAGUUCAGUUUUAAAGUUAAAACUCUAAUACUGACCAACUGGGGAAAAGUUCAGUUUAGGGUCGGGGACCUAAUGCUGACUGGCUGAAAAAGUUCAGUUUAGGGUUUAAAACCCUAAUGCCGACUGAAAGGAAAAGUUCAGUUUAGGGUUUAAAACCCUAAUGCUGACCGAAAGGAAAGAGUUCAGUUUAGGGUUUAAAACCCUAAUGCUGACUAAAGGGAAAAAGUUCAGUUUAGU
RNAcentral lists this long non-coding RNA (605 nucleotides) under Nicotiana tabacum (common tobacco). RNAcentral describes it as "long non-coding RNA (NTAB_LNC005003)". The record is from RNAcentral. Lineage: Eukaryota; Viridiplantae; Streptophyta; Magnoliopsida; Solanales; Solanaceae.